UACGGGGGGGGCAAGCGUUGUUCGGAAUUACUGGGCGUAAAGGGCUCGUAGGCGGCCAACUAAGUCAGACGUGAAAUCCCUCGGCUUAACCGGGGAACUGCGUCUGAUACUGGAUGGCUUGAGUGUGGGAGAGGGAUGCGGAAUUCCAGGUGUAGCGGUGAAAUGCGUAGAUAUCUGGAGGAACACCGGUGGCGAAGGCGGCAUCCUGGACCGAGAUUGACGCUGAUGAGCGAAAGCUAGGGGAGCAAACGGG
This 253-nucleotide ribosomal RNA is filed under the name uncultured bacterium. RNAcentral describes it as "partial 16S ribosomal RNA". It matches the Rfam family "Bacterial small subunit ribosomal RNA", at positions 524 to 776 of the family's 1533-position model. The record is from RNAcentral.